CCUACUCUUGACAUCCAGAGAACUUGGCAGAGAUGCCUGGUGCCUUCGGGAACUCUGAGACAGGUGCUGCAUGGCGUCGUCGCUCGUGUUGUGAAAUGUUGGGUUAAGUCCCCAACGAGCGCAACCCUUAUCCUUUGUUGCAGUCCGGCCGGGAACUCAAAGGAGACUGCCAGUGAUAAACUGAGGAAGGUGGGGAUGACGUCAAGUCAUCAUGGCCUUACGAGUAGGGCUACACACGUGCUACAAUGGCGCAUACAAAGAGAAGCGACCUCGCGAGAGCAAGCGGACCUCAUAAAGUGCGUCGUAGUCCGGAUUGGAGUCUGCAACUCGACUCCAUGAAGUCGGAAUCGCUAGUAAUCGUGGAUCAGAAUGCCACGGUGAA
This 382-nucleotide ribosomal RNA is filed under the name Citrobacter sp. CAR51. RNAcentral describes it as "bacterial SSU rRNA". It matches the Rfam family "Bacterial small subunit ribosomal RNA", at positions 974 to 1366 of the family's 1533-position model. The record is from RNAcentral. Lineage: Bacteria; Pseudomonadati; Pseudomonadota; Gammaproteobacteria; Enterobacterales; Enterobacteriaceae.